CCACAAGGUGAGACCGGCCUGGCCCGUAAAGCAACACGGCAACCCACCACCUACGUCGUCGUCUCCGCCGCCUUGCUCUAUCCAUCCGUCGGCGAUGCAGGCCGCCGUCGCCUUGAGCCAGAGCCAGGCGUCCCUUCUCGUCCGGCGGCUCCCAAGGCCUUACUACUACGCCGGCGGGCCGGAGCCGGAUGAUGGUGUGCUGCUGCUAGGACGACGAGGCGUGUCGCUCCCGCUCCCGCUCCCGCGGCUGCGGCUGCGGCGCGCCUGUUGCUCCUCGAGCCUACCCGUCGGUACCGGCGCCGGCGCCGGCAGUGGUAACAACCCCCACCUCAUGUUGGUUUACCAUGUUUGUGUUACUUUACCCGUGGUAAGGUAACAAGACCCCCCUGGCCGAUUGCUUUGGAAGCUAGGCUGGAGAGGGUACCUUUGCAGAUUUACCCCCUUCAGGCAAGGGCAAACUUUUCAGAUCAGAUUAUAAAAGUUUUGGCAGUGCCAAGAUAAGUGGAAUCAGUUACUAGGCCAAGGCUAAAAUUUGAGAUAAUACUAUUAAGGAGCACCUGUAUAUGCGUCAGUUACUAACUGAAAACAAAUUCUGUUUUACUGGAAUCCCUCCCCCUCGUAGCCUUCUUCUUUCUCCCACCCGCCCUGCCUAACUGCCUUCUGCCCUCCGACACCUGCCUAACCGCCUAGCGCCGCCGCCACCCCCCCGGCCAUCGCUGUUAAAUAGCAAAUGCGAUAAUAAUAUGGUCUGGCGGUACGAUAUUGUGAUGUGUCAGAGGAAUCACUUCUUAUCACUGUUUCAGUUCAUUCGCUAAUGCCAGUUAUCGGCUUACCGUGGUUAAAAAGAACAAUUCCGUGUGUUCAUACUUCAUAGUUCACGCGCGAAAGAAAUUUGCAUUUUUGUGAAUGAUGUGGAAAUCAGAAUCCUGGCCUUCAGGAAAGACGGUAUAUGGGAAUACAGGACUGCGUGCAAGUUUGAAUAAUGGGACCUAGUGGGCAGUCCUUCCCUUACAAAUGGUGAAUGGCUCCCAAAUACGGAGAUUUCAGUACUAAAACAAGUAGUAGAAGCAAUUCGUGCAAGCGGCAGUACCAAGGGUGAUAUUGAUGCAAUAGGAAGUCACUUCCAUGUUUGCUGUAUUAAUUUACAGUACUGGUGAGUCUCGGCUUGGAAGUUGCCAUGCUGCUCUUAAUUGUUUGCGGUAUCUGUUCUUGACCUGCAUAUCUGGAAUCAAAUGUCCUUAACCAGACGAGUUUUCUUAUUUGUAAGCAAGGUUUGGGAGAAUCAAAUAGUACCUUUUUGCCAUUUUGUUUGUGAGAUAAAUAAAAGUGUCAUAGAAACAAGCAGUCCUGUCCGGUGAAAUUAAUCAACACAUAUUCCCUGUC
Molecule: long non-coding RNA, 1383 nt
Organism: Triticum aestivum (bread wheat)
Lineage: Eukaryota; Viridiplantae; Streptophyta; Magnoliopsida; Poales; Poaceae
Exons: 2
Source: RefSeq, a predicted model, not a curated record